Suricata suricatta (meerkat) is the source of this 140-nucleotide small nucleolar RNA. The record is from Ensembl. NCBI's taxonomy places the organism in Eukaryota, Metazoa, Chordata, Mammalia, Carnivora, Herpestidae.
UUCCAAGGUGAGCCUCUCUCCAAGGUGCCAACUAGUGACUCCCAACCCCCAGCAACGUAGCAAUCUGGGAUAGAAUCUGGCAUGCCCAAGUCUGUGGGGCUAAGAUGAUGUUUCCUUUUGACCUCUGGCUGUCUACAUAU